UUCGAGGAAGGCAAGCGUUAUCCGGAAUCAUUGGGCGUAAAGCGUGCGCAGGCGGUUUUGUAAGCCAGAUGUGAAAUCCCCGGGCUUAACCUGGGAAUGGCAUUUGGGACUGCAAGGCUUGAGUGCGGCAGAGGAGACUGGAAUUCCUGGUGUAGCAGUGAAAUGCGUAGAUAUCAGGAGGAAUACCGAUGGCGAAGGCAGGUCUCUGGGCUGACACUGACGCUCAUGCACGAAAGCGUGGGGAGCAAACAGG
RNAcentral lists this ribosomal RNA (253 nucleotides) under uncultured bacterium. RNAcentral describes it as "partial 16S ribosomal RNA". It matches the Rfam family "Bacterial small subunit ribosomal RNA", at positions 524 to 776 of the family's 1533-position model. The record is from RNAcentral.